Molecule: microRNA precursor, 66 nt
Filed under: Microtus ochrogaster (prairie vole)
Lineage: Eukaryota; Metazoa; Chordata; Mammalia; Rodentia; Cricetidae
Description: microRNA 193a (ENSMOCG00000008077.1)
Rfam family: mir-193 microRNA precursor family
Source: RNAcentral
GAGAGCUGGGUCUUUGCGGGCAAGAUGAGGGUGUCAGUUCAACUGGCCUACAAAGUCCCAGUUCUC